This is a long non-coding RNA of Raphanus sativus (radish), 987 nucleotides long. RefSeq lists it as uncharacterized. Lineage: Eukaryota; Viridiplantae; Streptophyta; Magnoliopsida; Brassicales; Brassicaceae. The transcript has 6 exons. The record is from RefSeq and is a predicted model, not a curated record.
AAUUCGGCCACUUUUUCCAAUUCAAAUGAAAAUAGAAAAUGAAAUGAGAAAAAAAAACAGAUCCAAUCUAUGAGAUGAAAAUCGAAAUCGAUGGUGAUAUUCAGAGUUCUACAACAUAUAUUUGAGAAAGACAAAGUCAGAAUUAAUAAAUACAAAGAUGAAGAGUUUCUUAGAUCUGAAUUUUUUUAAAGAAAACAGACGAAUUCAACUGUAUCAAAUGUUGGAGACUUUAAAACAUCUGAAGAAUGGUAAUAAAUGAUUACCAUCGCCGUGUUAGAUUCAGAGGGAAGUUCGGAUAAAUCUAAGCCUGAAGGACAACUCAACCUUUUGUUAAUAUAUUCGGCCAUAAUACAGUGAAUAUAAACCAUCAAAACCACCUCCGAUUAAAUUUGUUAAAUCAGACAUGCAAUCAAAGUUCAGAUGUAAUGGUGGUGCAGCACCAUGGAGAUACAAAUAGCUGAAGAAAGAAGGUUUAUACGAAGUGUAGAAAGUUUCAGUUCUAGGUGGUUGAAUGAAUAAGGAAUAUUGAUUGUAUGCUUUGACUUCCAGAUAGGAAGGGAUUGAACGUGAACCAAUCCUACCACCCAAAAAGAUAAGUAUCUUUUUAUACUUUAUAAGAAUCUUUAAAUAUUCCAGUAACUUACUGUUAUGUUCCUUUGACAGGACAAUAUGCGUAUUACAUGGUACAUUUGAAUUAAGAAGCAAGACAGCUACUAUUAACACAACUUUCUUCUGUGCAUUUACUCAGUAUAAGGUUAGAUUAUCGUGAUGAUCUCGAUGGGCUUAACAUGCUAUUUGGAACUGGGCUAGUUUGGCGUUAAAUUGGUCUUGUUAUAGAUAGGACAUUAAAACAAAAGAGUUUUGAUUGGUUAAAAAAUCUGAUCGACAUUUAUUUUAUUUCUAAAAGGAAAUAGGCAAUAGCACAGGGUUGUAAUUAUUUUGAAAAGUCAGGGGCAGAAUCAUAUGAGAGAUUCUGCUUUAAUAGUA